RNAcentral lists this long non-coding RNA (8557 nucleotides) under Salvia miltiorrhiza (redroot sage). Its description in RNAcentral is "long non-coding RNA (SMIL_LNC011880)". The record is from RNAcentral. Lineage: Eukaryota; Viridiplantae; Streptophyta; Magnoliopsida; Lamiales; Lamiaceae.
GUGUCCAUCAAUUUGAAUGGUAAUAAAUUGCAAGGAACAUUACCUAAAUCCCUGAUCAAUUGCGGAAGUCUACGAAGCCUCGACGUUGGAAAUAAUAGAAUACAAGAUGAAUUUCCCUUCUGGAUGGAAGUCCUUCCACAGCUUGAAGUGUUGGUCUUGAGGUCUAACAAGUUUUACGGUAACAUGUCACUUCGGGCUAAUUGCCGCUAAAUCCAUGUACUUUUUCAAUUUUUGAUUUUUUCUCAUGGCAAAAAAAAAUCUACUUUAAAAUCCAUGAAUUGCAAAAUUGAUUGGAAAUUUCCCCCGCAUCCGAUUUCCGGCCAUCAGCGAAAUGAGUCAGAUCCUAUGUGGCGAAAUUCAUUCCGGGUGUUAAGUUUAAUGAAUGACAUGGACGCCACAUAAGAUUUUAAAAACUGAAAAAAAUUAUAGGAAAUCUUAAGAUUCUCAAAUACUUGAAUUUAUCCCAGAAUAACCUCAUUGGAAAUAUACCUUCAUCUCUUGCAAAUAUGAGUGAACUAGAAUCUUUGGACUUGUCAGUGAACAAGUUGGAUGGAGAAAUUCCAAGUGAAUUGACAGGGUUGACAUUUCUUGCGAAAUUAAACCUUUCAACGAAUAAUCUUGUGGGGCAAAUACCACAAGCCCAAAAGAAUUGUUAAACUGGGGCCUUCUGGCUCCGCCAUUGGUUACAACAAUACAACAGACUUCGUUGUCAACUUCGUUUUUGGCUUUAUAAGAUACUAGCUAGUAACCUGUUGAAAUUUGAUGGAGUAUUAUUUUUUUUGUAAUGAAUUUAUCUUUACAUAACUUUUGAAAUUAAUUUAAUUUAAUGUAAUAGAGUUCAAAUUAUAUUAAUCUCAACCACCUAUAUAAAUCAAAUCUUAAUAUUUUGUUGGGAGAAUAGAAAUGUUAUUUUAUACUAUAAGUUUUUAUUUGAUUAAGUUUUGUAAAAGGUCGAUGUGGAAUUGAAAAUUUUAGAAAAAUGAGAAGAAAAAAGUGUGUAAAUUAGAUGGAUGAUAUGACAGAGGGAUUGGUUGUGCCACAUUGGUUGUUAAUUGUAUAUAGACAACUUAUGUGUGUAUUUUAGUUGUUCAAUAUUCUUGAAUUUUUUGGCUUUAAUGAAAUUUAAUAUACACAAUUAGGUUAGGUUGUUUUUUUUUUUUUGUACAGGAAUUGAAGAGAUCAAUGUCAACUGAAUCGAAUGAAUGAUGAAGAGCUAAUGUUGGGCUACAAAGCCUACAAUGUUGAUUAGUCUUACUUCCUUGUUCGUUUGGGAUUCUAGUGACAUUAUAGAGAUAAGCUUUUACUUUUUAUGCAUAAGAGGAAUAGUUUCUGCAUCUGACAUGGUUAUUCGUUUGGGAUUCUAGUGACAUUAUUCUGGUUUGUAUCUUCAAUUUAGUAGAUUGUUAGUUAUGCUUUCUUUGUUCAAUUUAAUUAUGUUUUAUUUCGAUAGCAUGAGUAGCAAAUUUAUUAAUUCAGUGAGUAUAAUGAAACACUAGUCUAAAAUCUGUGACCUAAUUGUUUUAUUGAUUGAUACAAUUGGAUGAAUUAUUUACAUCUCAAUCAGAAGAAGCUUUUAGUUUAAGCAGGGAUAUUCGUGCUUAUAAUAGAAUAUUGUCAUUUACUUCGUUCAGUGUAAAAUUGGAUAAAGAACUCGCAUCUGUAAGACGAAGAGUUUAUUCUUUACAAGCACAAGGAAUGGUUUAUCAUGAUCUUCCUGAAUUGAUCCACAAUAUACAUGUAUUUUCAAUAAUACUUUUACGACACACAAAGUGAGGUUGAGGACCGAAUUAACAUAAGAUGCACGUAGAAAUUUUAGAGUUCAACAUGUAUGAAAAAUUCUUACAAAUUAAUUUAUGUAAGAAUUUACUGGUGUUUUUGAUAAAAUUAUUUGAAUUUGAAUAAAUUUCCUCGUUACCAAGAGCUUAUUAUUAUUAUUAUUAUUAUUAUUAUUAUUAUUAUUAUUAUUAUUCAAAAUAACUCGAAUUCAAAUUGCAACAAUUGCUCUAUUUUAAGGGGGCAGUUGCGUAGAGCUUGGUUUUAGAUUGCAAAGUGUGAAUUACCCUUUAUUAUAUCUUAUUCAAAGACACAAAAAGGGGGAUUUAAAGUCUCCCAAAUCUAUUAUAAAAAUAGAGAAUAUAUUCUACUUUUGCAUGUUAUUCUACCACUUCAAAUAAACAAACAGGUUUUGUUGUUUAUUCAACUGACGUAGCCCUCUGAUCACGGCCAAAACUUAUAAUGCUAUUUUAAUAUGAAUAUUAGGGUCAUUUUUUAAGAUUUGGGUUAGACUCAAUCUCCCAAAUCGAACAGAAAGUAGCUUUCCAUAUAAAUAGUCUUAGUUGCUUUUGCCUCCAAAAAUCACUCUUUAUAGUUCCACAAUUAUUUUCUUCGUCUUUCCAAUGGGAAAAAUAUUAUUUUAGCUUUGAAUAAAAGGAAACUCUGCAUUUCCUACUUUCAUCANAACAGGCUCGAGCUCGAUUCGUUUAAAUAUUCAGGUGUCUGAACGUGAUUCGAACUUUUAUCUUGUUAAUCGAGUUUAGCUCGUUACUCACUUACCGAGCUCAAGCUCAGUUCGAAUUCAGCUCAUGUGAUACUCAAUAAUAUCGAAUUCGAGCUUAAGCUCGAGCUCGAACUCGAUGUGUUUAAAGUUUGUGUACUAACUCAAUUGAAGGUUCGUGAAUAAACUCGCAAAUAUAUUCGUGAUUAAUCGCAUUUGAAUAUGUUCGCAAGCUAAACGAGCCGAGUGCUGCCAAGUUUGAGCUCGGUUCAAAAAAAUUAUCGAGCUCAAAAUCAAGCUCAAACUUGUUUACUAUCAAACCGAUCAAGUUUGGGAUCAUAUUCAGCAAUGGCUCAACAUCAAAACGGCAAAGCCACAAGGUCUCUUUCAACAUUUUUUGUCUUUUACUUAUGGUGGCAAAGGUAAGAAAAUCAGAAAAUUUUUGAAAGCUUUAUUGGUUGGAACAAUUUGGCUGCUGUGGAGUUAUAGAAAUGAAAGUAGGUUUGAAGGAAAGGAGUGGGAUCCACAAAAACUUGUGUUGGAGGUUAAAGGUAGACUUUGGAGCUGGAACAAGACUUUCCAAAUGGUGGAAGUGAAUGUUCCGUUUUCUUUGUGGUGCUCCCAAGAGUACACACUCCCCUUUUUGUAACUGUUUUGGUACUACUGAUACCGAGUUUUUCAAUAUAUUGCACUUUUAUUGAUAAAAAAAAAAAAGUUGAGUCUCGAAUAGAUCGCGGGUAGCUCUAUUUAUUUAUAAUCCUAACCGUUGGUGUUAAUGUUUGACGGUGAUACAUAUAUGCACGAAAGGACCAAGAAAAUAUUGGCCGGCGACUGACUUAUCUCACUCCCCACCUAAUUCGGCUUCCACGCGGCCUUCAAUCAACUCAAAUUACUACUUAGUAGUGCCACCCACCUUUCCCUUGACCUUCUCACGCAAAUCUAUACUAAUAGAAAAAGAGCCUAAGCAUUUUAUGGGACAACUUGUGGAUUGCCUAUUUUACCCCUAUUAUUUAUUUUGUAUUAUAUAUUUAUAAAAUCAAUCUAUUUGAUAUAUAUUUAUUUGUCACCCAAAUCUAUAAAUAAUAUUUUAUAUUAUAAAACCAAACAUAUACAUAAAAUCGUUGUCAAAUUAAUUAGAUAAAAAAUUUCUUCUCUACUUAGGUCCAAUAUUGAUGUUUCCCUCAUCUAAUCUAAUUAUAAUUUCUAAAUAAAUCCCUAAUAUAAUUGGUAUUUACAUCACAAUUCUUUUUUCCCUAAAAGAAGUUCAUCAAUUAAACCAACGAUCAAGGGGAUUCCAAUAUCUUAUCGCAUUAGAAUUCUAUUUAAUUUAUUACAUAUUUUAUUUUAAGGUUUUUUACAGAUUAUAUAUUUAUAAGAAUAUAUUAUUAUUAAUAUACACUAAAUCUAUGUGUAUAUAUCUAUAGCUAUUGAUAAGGCUUAUAAAUAAAUAUAUUCAAUCCAAUAAAAUUUAUUAAUGAAAGUAAUAAAUUAAUAAUUUUCUAAAAUAAUAGAUUAUUAAAUAAAAUAACAUUAAUUACACGUACAACGUACGUUCUUUCUGCUAGUUACUCAAAAUGACUCGAAUAUUCAAAUUGCAACAAUUGCUCUAUUUUCAGGGGGCAAUUGCGUAGAGCUUGGUUUUAGAUUGCGAAGUGUGAAUUACCCUUUAUUAUAUCUUAUUCAAAGAUCACAAAAAGGGGGAUUUAAAGUCUCCCAAAUCUAUUAUAAAAAUAGAGAAUAUCUUCUACUUUUGCAUGUUAUUCUACCACUUCAAAUAAACAAACAGGUUUUGUUGUUUAUUCAACUGACGUAGCCCUCUGAUCACGGCCAAAACUUAUAAUGCUAUUUUAAUAUGAAUAUUAGGGUCAUUUUUUAAGAUUUGAGUUAGACUCAAUAUCCCAAAUCGAACAGAAAGUAGCUUUCCAUAUAAAUAGUCUUAGUUGCUUUUGCCUCCAAAAAUCACUCUUUAUAGUUCCACAAUUAUUUUCUUCGUCUUUUCCUCAUUCACACUCCAAUUAAUUAUUUUCUCCGGCUUCGUCGCUCCAAUGGGAAAAUAUUAUUUUAGCUUUGAAUAAAAGGAAACUCUGCAUUUCCUACUUCAUCAUUAAUCCUUCCCAUUUGCCCAUCAUAUCCACACACACUCUAUAUAUACAUGUAUAUGGAUUUCAUAGUUCAAUAUUCUAAAAAAUUACUACUGUCAAAAUCAAGCCAAAAAAUGCCAAAAUCUCCCCAUUUUCUCAUCCUUGCACUACUCUUACCAAUCCAUUAUUUGAUGGAUUAUAGCUCAGCCAAAACCGAUAUCAACACCGAUCGUUCUUCACUUCUUGCCUUGAAAUCUCAAAUCACUUUAGAUCCUCAAAAUAUAUUGACCCAAAAUUGGAGCACUGAAGCCAGUGUUUGUAGUUGGAUAGGAGUUACUUGUGAUUCACACUACAAUAGGGUGACUAACUUGAAUAUAUCGCACAUGGGUCUUGUCGGAACCCUCCCACCAGAAAUCGGGAAUCUUUCUUUCCUCGUCUCUUUAAAUGCGAGUCAUAACUCUUUUCAUGGCCCCAUUCCCCCAUCUAUCUUCAACAUGUCAUUUCUAGAAGUUUUGGAACUAAAGAAUAAUAGUUUGUCUAGUAGUUUACCUCUUGAUAUGUGCAUACACAAUCUGCAUAGACUCAAGAGGCUUCGUAUAUCUUACAACGUGUUGUAUGGGGAAAUACCAUCGAGUUUGGGGCAGUGUUCACAGCUUGAGUAUCUUUCUUUGUACAACAACAAUUUCACUGGAUUUGUGCCGAGAGAAAUUGGGAACUUGACCAAGCUUCAAGAGUUGUACCUUGGUGAAAAUAAGUUGACUGGUAAGUUCAUUCCUAUAUUUAUGAGGUCAAAUCAUGCAUUUAAUGCCAUAUUAUUUAAUUCUUUAAUUUAUGUGCUUUAUGUUUGAGUGUCAAAUUUAAAAUUUAUCUCAGCUUAAUUGUAUGUAUAAACUCAAUUUGGACCACUAAUCAUUAUACAAUAACGCAUACAAAGUUUUCGAACCUUUAGAAAAUCUUUGAUGAUCUUUCAUUUAAACACAAACCAGUUUAGUGGUAAUAAAUUGCAAGGACCAUCAACAUUUACCAAUGAUUGGACUCUUUUUCAGUCAAUUUAAGUGAUACUAGUAAAUUGCAAGGAGCAUUACCUAAAUCCUUGAUCAAUUGUCAAAGUCAUAUAAUUGUGUCUUUCACAAAUUUAUAAAUGACUUUUCCAUAUAACAUUCAUUAGGACUAGUAAUCUAAAAUACUUUGAAUUAAAUAUACUAUAUUUAUAAAGAAUUCAAUAUAUUCAUUUUAAAUGUUAAGUAGGAUGUGUUAGCGUGUAUUUACAUGACAUUGUUUUAUAUUUAAAGAUUCAUAGGUUAGGGUGAUAAGUAAUAUUUUCCAUAUAAGUUUCAAUCUAGAAUUAAACUAACUUUGUGUGAUGAUUUGAAUAUUUGUAGGAGUUAUUCCACAAGAGAUACAUCAUCUUCAUAAUUUAAGAGUGUUGGACUUGAGUUUGAACAAGUUGUCAGGCACUUUGCCACCAACCAUUUUCAACAUGUCUUCCUUGGUAUGGAUUGACUUAUCAAGUAACACACUUAGCGGGGCAUUGCCUUCAAUAAUUGGGAACAAGAAAGCAGUACUAGAGUUUUUAUACCUUGAAAACAAUGCUUUAACCGGUAAGAUUUCUAACUCUUGUAGGGUUUUACACAUAUUCAAAUGUUUCUUAAUUUUCAUGUAUAUUUAGCGUUUACAGCCAUUGUGAGACCUUUAACUUCUUCUCAAAUCUAUAUUUGACUUUUCCAUAUAGCAUUUACAGCUAUGUCCUUCUCAAAUCUAUAUUGUUCUUUGUCUUCCAUUGAUUAGUGGAAUAAAUAUCAUUGUACUUAAAUAGCUCAAAAUUUCCCAUCCGAUCAAAUCAUGUAUUUUUACCUAUUAUUGUUAUGAUCGUUAUACUUAACAAUAUGGAACUUGACUUUGAUGACUUCAUUAUUCUCCAGGUACUAUUCCGAAAGAGAUUGGAAAUCUUCAUAAUUUAUGGUUCAUGUGGUUGGGUUCCAACGAACUUAGCGGAUCAAUCCCGAGAGAAGUGGGGAACAUGACAGCUCUUUCUGACUUACGGCUCGACAAUAAUAGUUUAAGUGGUAUUAGAACUCUUUUAGCGAGUUAAUUUCUUUUUUUGGGGAUUCCCACAAACUUAGUGGAGCUUUAAUUGUACCCACAAAUUUGGAAUAUUAGAACUCUUUGUCGCUCACACCUUUUUAACAUUUAUUUAACUUUUCCGCCAGGUACUAUUCCUAAAGAGAUUGGAAAUCUUCGUAAUUUACACUACUUAAGUUUGUCUUGACUAUUUAUGGCUCCACAAUAAUACUUUAAGUGGUAUGAUUUAUUAUUUAGCUAGCCACAAGUUUAGGUAAAAGAUAAUAUUGUUUGUUAAAUUAAAUAGAUGCAAAGUAAAAGAUAUUUGAUAGGUUUUGGAGAGCUUUUAUUCAGGUAAUUAAAAGAUAGUAAUAGAUUGUUUUAUUACUUCGCAAAUUCAUUUCUAAAGAAAAUUAUUUUCACCUUUAAGAGUCUCGUUUCUUUUCCAACAUUCGACACAAAAGUAUUUUUCCUUUCUUAUUUUCACUUCAAUGAUGGAUAAUAUUAGAAGGAUAAUAUUAUCCAUCAUUGAAGUGAAAAUAAGAAAGGAAAAAUACUUUUGUGUCAAAUGUUAGAAAAGAAAUGAGACAUUUGAAAGCAUAAAUUUUUGUUUCUUUUCAAUUGGAACCAUCUUCAGCACUCGUCUCUUUAUCCUAAAAGAUGGAAGCACUAAAUCUUUUAUUCCUUGGAAACAAUGACUUUGACUCUAGGACGCAAACAUUAAAAGGUUCAUAAAUUAGGGUGAUAAGUAAUAUUUUCCCUAUACGUCUCAAUCUAGAAUUAGACUAACUCUUUGUGAUGAUUUGGAUAUUUGUAGGAGUUAUUCCACAAGAGAUACAUCAUCUUCAUAAUUUAACAGUGUUGGACUUGAGUUCGAACAAGUUGUCAGGCACUUUGCCACCAACCAUUUUCAACAUGUCUUCCUUGACAUGGAUUGACUUAUCAAGUAACACACUUAGCGGGGCAUUGCCUUCAGAAAUUGGGAACAAGAAAGCAGUACUAGAGUUUUUAUACCUUCAAAACAAUGCUUUAACCGGUAAGAUUUCUAACUCUUGUAGAGUUUUACACAUAUUCAAAUGUUUCUUAAUUUUCAUGUAUAUUUAGCAUUUACAGCCAUUGUGAGACCUUUAACUUCUUCUCAAAUCUAUAUUUGACUUUUCCAUAUAGCAUUUACAGCUAUGUUCUUCUCAAAUCUAUAUUGUUCUUUGUCUUCCAUUGAUUAGUGGAAUAAAUAUCAUUAUACUUAAAUAGUAUACAGCUCAAUCUCCCAACCGAUCGAAUCACGUAUUUUACUUAUUAUUCUCAAUUAUGAUUGUUAUACUUAACAAUAUGGAACUUGACUUUGAUCACUUCAUUAUUCUCCAGGUACUAUUCCAUCCUCCAUCUGUAACUUGACAUCUCUUGGAUUUCUUGUUCUCUCAAAUAACACCUUGGAAGGAACAAUUCCACAAUGCUUUGGAAAUUUGAGCAAAUCUUUGCUCAUUUUUCAUUUAAAUGUGAAUCAGUUUAGUGGUCUCAUUCCAUCAUCAUUUAGCAAGGGAUGUGGCCUUGUGUCCAUCAAUUUGAAUGGUAAUAAAUUGCAAGGACCAUUACCUAAAUCCUUGAUCAAUUGCCAAAGACUACGAGACCUCGACGUCGGAAAUAAUAGAAUACAAGACGAAUUUCCCUUUUGGAUGGAAGUCCUUCCAGACCUUCAAGUGCUGGUCUUGAGGGCUAACAAGUUUUAUGGUAACAUGUCACUUCCUUCGCAAACCAAGAUUCCAUUUCAUAAUUUGCAAGUUUUAGAUAUAUCUCAGAAUAGAUUUGUGGGCUCUCUGCCUCAAGGAUAUUUCAAGAAUUUCAGAGCAAUGAUAGAGGUAAAUGAAACAAACUUGUCAACUAACGACACCUUCUUUAAAGAUUAUGUGGAGAUGAGGCUCAC